RNAcentral lists this ribosomal RNA (301 nucleotides) under uncultured bacterium. RNAcentral's name for it is "partial 16S ribosomal RNA". It matches the Rfam family "Bacterial small subunit ribosomal RNA", at positions 509 to 808 of the family's 1533-position model. The record is from RNAcentral.
CAGUCGCCGCGGUAAUGCGUAGGGUGCGAACGUUAAUCGGAAUUACUGGGCGUAAAGCGAGCGCAGGCGGUUAGAUAAGUCUGAAGUUAAAGGCUGUGGCUUAACCAUAGUACGCCUUGGAAACUGUUUAACUUGAGUGCAAGAGGGGAGAGUGGAAUUCCAUGUGUAGCGGUGAAAUGCGUAGAUAUAUGGAGGAACACCGGUGGCGAAAGCGGCUCUCUGGCUUGUAACUGACGCUGAGGCUCGAAAGCGUGGGGAGCAAACAGGAUUAGAUACCCCAGUAGUCCCUGUCUCUUAUACA